CUUCCCAGAGAAAUGUUCCUUCGAUUGUUUCUUUCUUUGACCAUAGCUGUGAUGUUUGUGUUGGUCGUGCCUCUUGGUGAUCAGCAAAACAGGUUCCUCAGUGAUGUGCUGCUCAUGUUCACAGAAUGAGCAGACUAAUACAGAGGUAUUAGAGGAACGGCAGGAACAGAAUGAGGAAGAGGAGCACAACGAGGAGGAGGAUGUGGAAGCCAACAUGCUGACUCUUUUAGCGAGCAGGAGGAGGACUUGGUUCAUCUUGCUACCCAAAAUGGCCGUGUUGCUGAGGACGUCUCCAGUGCUAAUGAAUGUGAGAUAAUAUACGAUAUAGUAGAUGAUUCACCUGCAACGACCUGUGGAACCCUCUCUGUAUGCCACCUCCUCCACCGAGGAAAAAAGAAAAAAAAAACCUAUACAUUUUUCACCUCACUAAAUGCAUAAGCAUUUUGGGUGUGAAUCCCUGUUUCAAACUUUUUUUUUUUUUUUUUUUCAGAAUUACAACAGUAAUGCCAGUGUUUGACAUAAUGACCUAUAUUCUGGAAAGCAGCAGCAGUGGAACAAUACAGCCCCACUGGACCAAACACUGGCACUACAUCUGCUCCUUUUUCUUAUUUUUGGGAGCUACAUCUUGUUCAGCCUAAAUAGCUUGUCAGUUACCUGCUAGCUGCAUCUGCAAAUGUAGUAAGCUGGCUGUGGUAAGCUUCAUUAAAACCAGUUACCAGAUACAUUUAUUUGUAUUUGUGCUUCCUUUGUUCAAUCAGAUUAACUUAAAAAGAAUUUAAACCUAUGCAUA
Molecule: long non-coding RNA, 790 nt
Organism: Sphaeramia orbicularis (orbiculate cardinalfish)
Lineage: Eukaryota; Metazoa; Chordata; Actinopteri; Kurtiformes; Apogonidae
Exons: 6
Source: RefSeq, a predicted model, not a curated record